This 253-nucleotide ribosomal RNA is filed under the name uncultured bacterium. RNAcentral's name for it is "partial 16S ribosomal RNA". It matches the Rfam family "Bacterial small subunit ribosomal RNA", at positions 524 to 776 of the family's 1533-position model. The record is from RNAcentral.
GACGAAGGGGGCUAGCGUUGUUCGGAAUUACUGGGCGUAAGGCGCGUGUAGGCGGUUGUCCAAGUUGGAUGUGAAAGCCUUGAGCUUAACUCAAGAAAUGCAUUCAGGACUGGAUGACUAGAGGACCGGAGAGGAUAGUGGAAUUCCCAGUGUAGUGGUGAAAUACGUAGAGAUUGGGAAGAACACCAGUGGCGAAGGCGGCUAUCUGGACGGUUUCUGACGCUAAGACGCGAAAGCGUGGGGAGCAAACAGG